RNAcentral lists this unclassified non-coding RNA (371 nucleotides) under uncultured Tylospora. RNAcentral's name for it is "sequence contains ITS1, 5.8S rRNA gene and ITS2". The stretch from base 104 to 258 matches the Rfam family "5.8S ribosomal RNA". Lineage: Eukaryota; Fungi; Basidiomycota; Agaricomycetes; Atheliales; Atheliaceae. The record is from RNAcentral.
CCCAACAAACACCGUGGGCCUUCGGGCCCGCGUAUAUUUACUCUGAAUGUGUAUAGAAUGUAAACCAUUUGUUUGCCCUGAAAAAGCAAACGAAAAAAAAUACAACUUUCAACAACGGAUCUCUUGGCUCUCGCAUCGAUGAAGAACGCAGCGAAAUGCGAUAAGUAAUGUGAAUUGCAGAUUUUCAGUGAAUCAUCGAAUCUUUGAACGCACCUUGCGCCCCUUGGUAUUCCGAGGGGCAUGCCUGUUUGAGUGUCAUUAAAUCCUCAACCGCGCCGAUUGAUUUCGGUGGGGCUUGGACUUUGGAGCGUGCUGGCGAAGGUCGGCUCCUCUUUAAAUGCAUCAGCGGAAGAAACCUUUGUCUUUCCUGC